UCUGGUUGAUCCUGCCGGAGGUCACUGCUAUCGGUGUUCGUCUAAGCCAUGCGAGUCAUAUGUUCUUUGUGAACAUGGCGUACUGCUCAGUAACACGUGGAUAACCUGCCCUUGGGUUCGGCAUAACCCCGGGAAACUGGGGAUAAUACCGGAUAACGCAUAUAUGCUGGAAUUCUUUAUGCGUGAAAUGGAUUCGUCUGCCCAAGGAUGGGUCUGCGGCCUAUCAGGUAGUAGUGGGUGUAAUGUACCUACUAGCCGACGACGGGUACGGGUUGUGAGAGCAAGAGCCCGGAGAUGGAUUCUGAGACAUGAAUCCAGGCCCUACGGGGCGCAGCAGGCGCGAAAACUUUACAAUGCGGGAAACCGUGAUAAGGGGACACCGAGUGCCAGCAUCAUAUGUUGGCUGUCCAGGUGUGUAAAAUACACCUGUUAGCAAGGGCCGGGCAAGACCGGUGCCAGCCGCCGCGGUAACACCGGCGGCCCGAGUGGUGAUCGUGAUUAUUGGGUCUAAAGGGUCCGUAGCCGGUUUGGUCAGUCCUCCGGGAAAUCUGACGGCUUAACCGUCAGGCUUUCGGGGGAUACUGCCAGACUUGGAACCGGGAGAGGUAAGAGGUACUACAGGGGUAGGAGUGAAAUCUUGUAAUCCCUGUGGGACCACCUGUGGCGAAGGCGUCUUACCAGAACGGGUUCGACGGUGAGGGACGAAAGCUGGGGGCACGAACCGGAUUAGAUACCCGGGUAGUCCCAGCCGUAAACGAUGCUCGCUAGGUGUCAGGCAUGGCGCGACCGUGUCUGGUGCCGCAGGGAAGCCGUGAAGCGAGCCACCUGGGAAGUACGGCCGCAAGGCUGAAACUUAAAGGAAUUGGCGGGGGAGCACAACAACGGGUGGAGCCUGCGGUUUAAUUGGACUCAACGCCGGACAACUCACCGGGGGCGACAGCAAUAUGUAGGUCAGGCUGAAGACCUUGCCUGAAUCGCUGAGAGGAGGUGCAUGGCCGUCGCCAGUUCGUACUGUGAAGCAUCCUGUUAAGUCAGGCAACGAGCGAGACCCA
Molecule: ribosomal RNA, 1052 nt
Filed under: uncultured archaeon
Lineage: Archaea
Description: bacterial SSU rRNA
Rfam family: Archaeal small subunit ribosomal RNA
Source: RNAcentral